Molecule: long non-coding RNA, 689 nt
Filed under: Cricetulus griseus (Chinese hamster)
Lineage: Eukaryota; Metazoa; Chordata; Mammalia; Rodentia; Cricetidae
Description: lncRNA (ENSCGRG00015041860.1)
Source: RNAcentral
CUCACUUCUCCUCCUCCCUUGCCUCCUCUCUCCCUCCCCCUUUUCUGCUCCCUCUCCUCCUCCUUCUUUCUCCUGAGACAAGGUUUCUCUGUGCAGCCCUGGCUGUCCUGGAGCUCACUCUGUAGACCAGGCUGGCCUCAAACUCAGAGAUCACCUGUCUCUGCUGGGACUAAAGGUGUGUGCCACCACCACCUGGCUUGGAGCAAGAUGGAGUGGGGAAGGACACUGGGUGAGCACUUAAGACAGGACUUCAGAACUAAGGAAACACGGAGUUAGUGAGUGGAGACUAAGGAGGCACCGUCAUCAGCUUUUAGAAGUAGCUGUCUGGACUAAACAAUGAAAUCUGAGAAUCCUGCUCAGAAUAUCAAAACCAAACUGCAAAGAAGAUUCUCAGAGAAGCUAAGUGGUGAAAAUGACUCAUACUGAACUAACUGCCUGGAAGAAGCAGAAACCAGUUGAGCUGCCUGAAGAAGUUUAGACCAACUGAGGCACCUGGAAAGAACAAUCUCCAACCUGCUGAGCUGCCUGCAAGCUGUGCAGUGAGCUCCAAGUUCCCAGCUUGGUGAGCUGUCACCCAUGCUGGUGUGGGCCUUGUUAAGUCAGCUGUUUUUGAGUCAUUUCUACUCCUGAACUGAACAAACAAGCACUGUACCAUUCAGCCACAUCUGCAGCCCUGAAUUGUACACUGG